GAGUUUGAUCGUGGCUCAGAUUGAACGCUGGCGGCAUGCCUUACACAUGCAAGUCGAACGGCAGCACGGGAGCUUGCUCCUGGUGGCGAGUGGCGAACGGGUGAGUAAUGCAUCGGAACGUAUCCUGGAGUGGGGGAUAACGUAGCGAAAGUUACGCUAAUACCGCAUAUUCUGUGAGCAGGAAAGCGGGGGACCUUCGGGCCUCGCGCUCUUGGAGCGGCCGAUGUCGGAUUAGCUAGUUGUGAGGUAAAGGCUCACCAAGGCGACGAUCCGUAGCAGGUCUGGGAGGAUGAUCUGCCACACUGGAACUGAGACACGGUCCAGACUCCUACGGGAGGCAGCAGUCGGGAAUUUUGGACAAUGGGGGCAACCCUGAUCCAGCCAUGCCGCGUGAGUGAAGAAGGCC
This 406-nucleotide ribosomal RNA is filed under the name bacterium enrichment culture clone ALO1_GLFRUDD03F77L5. RNAcentral describes it as "bacterial SSU rRNA". It matches the Rfam family "Bacterial small subunit ribosomal RNA", at positions 9 to 416 of the family's 1533-position model. The record is from RNAcentral.